Molecule: small nuclear RNA, 190 nt
Filed under: Amanita muscaria Koide BX008
Lineage: Eukaryota; Fungi; Basidiomycota; Agaricomycetes; Agaricales; Amanitaceae
Description: U2 spliceosomal RNA
Rfam family: U2 spliceosomal RNA
About the family: U2 is a small nuclear RNA (snRNA) component of the spliceosome (involved in pre-mRNA splicing).
Source: Rfam by way of RNAcentral
UUACCACUCUGGCCUUUUGGCUUAGAUCAAGUGUAGUAUCUGUUCUUAAUAGUUUAACCACUAUUAUGGAGGCACUGCCUCCAUUAUUUGGUUAUCUAAUUUUUGCCGCCCCAGUUCUUCGGGCUCUGCUUGCAACCUGAGGACGCGAUGACCUUGCUACUGCACUACUGGCUUGUGUCGUCGGGGGAUC